Molecule: long non-coding RNA, 1965 nt
Organism: Schistocerca gregaria
Lineage: Eukaryota; Metazoa; Arthropoda; Insecta; Orthoptera; Acrididae
Exons: 2
Source: RefSeq, a predicted model, not a curated record
CGGGGCUCUCUCUGUAGAGGUAAUUUAUGGUUUGAAAAUGCCAUCACCAUUUGAUGUGCUCAAACCUCAGGUAGGUUCACAAGAUGAGUCAGUGAAGAAUUUCGCCAAGAAAUUGAGAGAGAUUUGGCAAAGGGUACGGCAUGCUAAUACUAAACCUUUGGAGAAACAAGAGAGUAUUGGGCAAAGAACAGGUAAACUGCCGCAAUACUGAAUUGAUCAGUGGGUAUUGUUGGCUAAUCCUUAUGUUCUGAAGGGUAAAACGAAGUUUUUGGCGAAAUAUUCUGGACCGUACCAAGUAAAUGAUAUAGUGUCUCCAGUGAACGUAAAGUUGCAGUUACCAACCAAGUCGUCAGUAGUUCAUGUGAGUAGGAUUAAGCCAUUUAAGGGCACAGUGGAUGCGUUAUCGCGGAUUUCUCCAGCAGUAACAAAGGGUGUGAGGAUACCGAAGCUAAAAGAACAGCAGAGGAACGUUCAUUACACACUUAGGUUUAGGGAUAAGUAGUUUAAGUGUCCUCGGGGAGGAACAUGUCGUAUUUAUUGUUCUUAGGUAAUAGGGUAUGUGUAGUUUUUACUUGUCAUUUGUGUGUUUUAGACGUGGUAAGGAAGGGAGCGAUUGACAUGGCUUCCUUUUCCUUCAGAUGCCGUGCCAGGAUGUGGCCCAGGAAACUUUUCGUCAGUCUGGCACUGCUACACUGUUGCAGAAGACAGGUGGUGCAGGUGCAACCACUAAAUAAGGGAAUUUUGUUUGCAAGACAAUUAGAUGUGGUAUUGUCAAGCCGCAGGUGGACAAUUGUAUUACCAUAUAAUAUAUGGGGAGUGAGGAAUGAUGUACGGACACUACAGGAUAGGUUUACGGCGCUACUGGCGGCCACGGAGAAGGAGGGUUUGUUUCAAGACAUACAGAACGAGUAUCAGGAAUUGAAGCUCUCAUACGAAAAGCUGAGAAGGCAGCUGCAACAAGUAACGAAGUGGUCCUGCAAAGGCUCGUUCGCAGGAAACGAGGGUGGUUGGAUGCAGGGGGAAAAUUGCUGAAAACAGUGUUUGGAACUGCGGACGAGGAAGAUACAAGGAGCUUAAAUAGUACGGUGGGGGAUGUGCAGGAGUUGGCGGAGGAGACAAAGUCGAAAGUGGAUUGGCACAUGACACGUCUAGAUAACAUGGAGCAGGGGAUAUUGAAUGUCACUAGAACAAUGUGGGAGUUGACGUCAGACCUGGAACGGUAUGCAGCAAAUACCAGGAAAGUGUUGAAUGGGGAUAUAGAGACUGUACAGGCGAGAUUGAGCCGAAUAGACAGGAAAAUACAAGUAGCAACUUUAUUGAGGACAUCAGCAGACAGGGUGGAUGAUGCACAUGUCGAAUCAGUGAAGGAGUGCGUCAUGUCUUGCCUCCGGCGAAGCGGAAUUUACCGUUAUUCUAUUGCAUGUCUAAAGUGAGAGUAAUUACAGAUCAGGCGAGUAUACACGUAGAAGUGCAAAUACCAGUAAUGGGUAUCAAUUCGCGGUACCAGUGUUAUACAGUACACCCGUAUACAAUUAGAUGGGGUGCACUUGGGAAGUGGGUGCAAGUGCGAACUCAGGAAGUGUUGUUAGUGUUAAGACGGAGGAGUGAUCAUGUGGUAAUGUCUACGGAAGAUUUGACAGACUGUUUCAGCCAUGCACAGCCGAAGUAAAGACAAUCCUCCGCUACGUCACAGCAAGCGGCCCUAUGCUAGCAAGACUGGUGCGGCCUGGAGCCGGUGUCAUUGCUCCGAGUCAGCGAGGGCUCAGGGAAGGUCGUUGAUAUCACCAAGCUCAGCCAGCCUGUGUUACGCGGGCCACAUUGUACUCGGCAGGAAUCAAGAUGGUGACCUGCACUGAAGAAUUAUAAGAUGGUGGCUGACAAACAGAAAGGAAGCUAUAGGGAGAUAUGUCUUUGUCACCAACUUUUCCCCUUGCAACAAUAAAGUUUUUCAUCGUUGGCAUAACA